CAGAUAGACAGAGCAUAGCUGUCGCGGUGCGAAUUCGUUCGCGCCACGGUGGAGGAAAGUCCGGACUGCACGGGACGGCACACUGGUUAACGGCCAGGCGGGGUGACCCGACGAUUAGAGCAACAGUGACGAAUCGGUUUAAAGACCGGGUGAAACGGGCAAUCUCUGUGUGCAGCAACCUUGAAUAGGUUCCUUAUGUGUGUCCCGCACUUGGAACGGGUAAAGGGCUUGACGUAUUGUGGUAACAUGAUAUGCAGACUGAUUAUGCUCGCUACCCCUGGGACGGUUGACAACAACUGGCCUGGGGCAGUACAGAAUCCGGCUUAUCGUUUAUCUGUGUA
Molecule: RNase P RNA, 341 nt
Filed under: Candidatus Enterousia excrementavium
Lineage: Bacteria; Pseudomonadati; Pseudomonadota; Alphaproteobacteria
Description: RNase P RNA component class A
Rfam family: Bacterial RNase P class A
About the family: Ribonuclease P (RNase P) is a ubiquitous endoribonuclease, found in archaea, bacteria and eukarya as well as chloroplasts and mitochondria. Its best characterised activity is the generation of mature 5'-ends of tRNAs by cleaving the 5'-leader elements of precursor-tRNAs.
Source: RNAcentral